GACGAACGCUGGCGGCGUGCUUAACACAUGCAAGUCGAGCGGUAAGGCCCUUUCGGGGGUACACGAGCGGCGAACGGGUGAGUAACACGUGGGUGACCUGCCCUCAGCUCUGGGAUAAGCCUGGGAAACCGGGUCUAAUACUGGAUAUGACUCCAUGACGCAUGUUGUGAGGUGGAAAGCCUUGUGCGGCUGAGGAUGGGCCCGCGGCCUAUCAGCUUGUUGGUGGGGUGAUGGCCUACCAAGGCGACGACGGGUAGCCGGCCUGAGAGGGCGACCGGCCACACUGGGACUGAGACACGGCCCAGACUCCUACGGGAGGCAGCAGUGGGGAAUCUUGCGCAAUGGGCGAAAGCCUGACGCAGCGACGCCGCGUGAGGGAUGAAGGUCUUCGGAUUGUAAA
RNAcentral lists this ribosomal RNA (400 nucleotides) under uncultured bacterium. RNAcentral's name for it is "bacterial SSU rRNA". It matches the Rfam family "Bacterial small subunit ribosomal RNA", at positions 28 to 429 of the family's 1533-position model. The record is from RNAcentral.